UUAUUGGGAGGCAACCCAAGUUCAAUUUUUAUUUUUAGCUUUUAUUAAGUUUUAUAUUAGUAGUUUUGAAUUUGCAUUUAUUUAGGAUUUAAUAAAAUUGCUUCUAUCAUGGUUUUACAGGUUAUUCAAGUCAAAUUCAAGUGUGGUGCCCAAUUUGUUCCAUGUGCUUAGCCUAUUCUCCAAACUUAGCGGACAAGGAGGAAGAUUGCUAUAUUUUCAGGGAAGUCCUCUGCUUUAAUUUUUUCUAUUGUAGCCAUUGAGGACAAUGUCUAGUUUAAGUUUAGGGGCAUUUUAGUGUCGUACUGCAUAUAGUUAGUUAUCUGCAUAGUAGUUUAUUUUUUUUUUAUGUGUUAGCAUUAUGUUUUUUUUAGGUUGCAUAUAAUACAUGGUAUUUUUUUUUUGGCAUCUUCAUAUAUGUGUUCAUGUAGUAUAAUUGCAUUUUUUCUUAUUUUUGCAUGAAUCUGUGUGAUAGGUUGGUGUGGUCUUAGCUCGGCUUAUGAUAAGAUUGGUUUUGCAUGUUAACU
Molecule: long non-coding RNA, 524 nt
Filed under: Panax ginseng (ginseng)
Lineage: Eukaryota; Viridiplantae; Streptophyta; Magnoliopsida; Apiales; Araliaceae
Description: long non-coding RNA (PGIN_LNC006292)
Source: RNAcentral